This 2901-nucleotide ribosomal RNA is filed under the name Escherichia coli. RNAcentral describes it as "bacterial LSU rRNA". It matches the Rfam family "Bacterial large subunit ribosomal RNA". Lineage: Bacteria; Pseudomonadati; Pseudomonadota; Gammaproteobacteria; Enterobacterales; Enterobacteriaceae. The record is from RNAcentral.
UUAAGCGACUAAGCGUACACGGUGGAUGCCCUGGCAGUCAGAGGCGAUGAAGGACGUGCUAAUCUGCGAUAAGCGUCGGUAAGGUGAUAUGAACCGUUAUAACCGGCGAUUUCCGAAUGGGGAAACCCAGUGUGAUUCGUCACACUAUCAUUAACUGAAUCCAUAGGUUAAUGAGGCGAACCGGGGGAACUGAAACAUCUAAGUACCCCGAGGAAAAGAAAUCAACCGAGAUUCCCCCAGUAGCGGCGAGCGAACGGGGAGCAGCCCAGAGCCUGAAUCAGUGUGUGUGUUAGUGGAAGCGUCUGGAAAGGCGCGCGAUACAGGGUGACAGCCCCGUACACAAAAAUGCACAUACUGUGAGCUCGAUGAGUAGGGCGGGACACGUGGUAUCCUGUCUGAAUAUGGGGGGACCAUCCUCCAAGGCUAAAUACUCCUGACUGACCGAUAGUGAACCAGUACCGUGAGGGAAAGGCGAAAAGAACCCCGGCGAGGGGAGUGAAAAAGAACCUGAAACCGUGUACGUACAAGCAGUGGGAGCACGCUUAGGCGUGUGACUGCGUACCUUUUGUAUAAUGGGUCAGCGACUUAUAUUCUGUAGCAAGGUUAACCGAAUAGGGGAGCCGAAGGGAAACCGAGUCUUAACUGGGCGUUAAGUUGCAGGGUAUAGACCCGAAACCCGGUGAUCUAGCCAUGGGCAGGUUGAAGGUUGGGUAACACUAACUGGAGGACCGAACCGACUAAUGUUGAAAAAUUAGCGGAUGACUUGUGGCUGGGGGUGAAAGGCCAAUCAAACCGGGAGAUAGCUGGUUCUCCCCGAAAGCUAUUUAGGUAGCGCCUCGUGAAUUCAUCUCCGGGGGUAGAGCACUGUUUCGGCAAGGGGGUCAUCCCGACUUACCAACCCGAUGCAAACUGCGAAUACCGGAGAAUGUUAUCACGGGAGACACACGGCGGGUGCUAACGUCCGUCGUGAAGAGGGAAACAACCCAGACCGCCAGCUAAGGUCCCAAAGUCAUGGUUAAGUGGGAAACGAUGUGGGAAGGCCCAGACAGCCAGGAUGUUGGCUUAGAAGCAGCCAUCAUUUAAAGAAAGCGUAAUAGCUCACUGGUCGAGUCGGCCUGCGCGGAAGAUGUAACGGGGCUAAACCAUGCACCGAAGCUGCGGCAGCGACGCUUAUGCGUUGUUGGGUAGGGGAGCGUUCUGUAAGCCUGCGAAGGUGUGCUGUGAGGCAUGCUGGAGGUAUCAGAAGUGCGAAUGCUGACAUAAGUAACGAUAAAGCGGGUGAAAAGCCCGCUCGCCGGAAGACCAAGGGUUCCUGUCCAACGUUAAUCGGGGCAGGGUGAGUCGACCCCUAAGGCGAGGCCGAAAGGCGUAGUCGAUGGGAAACAGGUUAAUAUUCCUGUACUUGGUGUUACUGCGAAGGGGGGACGGAGAAGGCUAUGUUGGCCGGGCGACGGUUGUCCCGGUUUAAGCGUGUAGGCUGGUUUUCCAGGCAAAUCCGGAAAAUCAAGGCUGAGGCGUGAUGACGAGGCACUACGGUGCUGAAGCAACAAAUGCCCUGCUUCCAGGAAAAGCCUCUAAGCAUCAGGUAACAUCAAAUCGUACCCCAAACCGACACAGGUGGUCAGGUAGAGAAUACCAAGGCGCUUGAGAGAACUCGGGUGAAGGAACUAGGCAAAAUGGUGCCGUAACUUCGGGAGAAGGCACGCUGAUAUGUAGGUGAAGUGAUUUACUCAUGGAGCUGAAAUCAGUCGAAGAUACCAGCUGGCUGCAACUGUUUAUUAAAAACACAGCACUGUGCAAACACGAAAGUGGACGUAUACGGUGUGACGCCUGCCCGGUGCCGGAAGGUUAAUUGAUGGGGUUAGCGCAAGCGAAGCUCUUGAUCGAAGCCCCGGUAAACGGCGGCCGUAACUAUAACGGUCCUAAGGUAGCGAAAUUCCUUGUCGGGUAAGUUCCGACCUGCACGAAUGGCGUAAUGAUGGCCAGGCUGUCUCCACCCGAGACUCAGUGAAAUUGAACUCGCUGUGAAGAUGCAGUGUACCCGCGGCAAGACGGAAAGACCCCGUGAACCUUUACUAUAGCUUGACACUGAACAUUGAGCCUUGAUGUGUAGGAUAGGUGGGAGGCUUUGAAGUGUGGACGCCAGUCUGCAUGGAGCCGACCUUGAAAUACCACCCUUUAAUGUUUGAUGUUCUAACGUGGACCCGUAAUCCGGGUUGCGGACAGUGUCUGGUGGGUAGUUUGACUGGGGCGGUCUCCUCCUAAAGAGUAACGGAGGAGCACGAAGGUUGGCUAAUCCUGGUCGGACAUCAGGAGGUUAGUGCAAUGGCAUAAGCCAGCUUGACUGCGAGCGUGACGGCGCGAGCAGGUGCGAAAGCAGGUCAUAGUGAUCCGGUGGUUCUGAAUGGAAGGGCCAUCGCUCAACGGAUAAAAGGUACUCCGGGGAUAACAGGCUGAUACCGCCCAAGAGUUCAUAUCGACGGCGGUGUUUGGCACCUCGAUGUCGGCUCAUCACAUCCUGGGGCUGAAGUAGGUCCCAAGGGUAUGGCUGUUCGCCAUUUAAAGUGGUACGCGAGCUGGGUUUAGAACGUCGUGAGACAGUUCGGUCCCUAUCUGCCGUGGGCGCUGGAGAACUGAGGGGGCUGCUCCUAGUACGAGAGGACCGGAGUGGACGCAUCACUGGUGUUCGGGUUGUCAUGCCAAUGGCACUGCCCGGUAGCUAAAUGCGGAAGAGAUAAGUGCUGAAAGCAUCUAAGCACGAAACUUGCCCCGAGAUGAGUUCUCCCUGACCCUUUAAGGGUCCUGAAGGAACGUUGAAGACGACGACGUUGAUAGGCCGGGUGUGUAAGCGCAGCGAUGCGUUGAGCUAACCGGUACUAAUGAACCGUGAGGCUUAACCUU